AGCACAGUGGGAGAAUGAAAGUAGGAAGAAGGGAGAAACCAUUUAUUUUCUGCUUCUGGUUGUAGCUUCAGUCAUGCUGGCAGUAAAGACAGUGGAUAACUGAGCAUCUAGAAGAUAGACAACCCACCAACUGACUGGGAAUGACUAUAAGUGUAGUGUGUUUGGGGCAGAAGCAGGUGGUUGAAAAAUGUCUGAAACGUGUGUGGGCUAGAAUCCAUUUUUUUUUUCUAUGGGUAUAUUCAUUUAACAAGAGCAGUCUCUGCAGAACUGUCAAAAACUGCCUGCCAUCUUUCCAAAUCAUCUCUCUCUUCAGUGACCAUGACUUAAUCCUAAAGGAAAACAAGGUUCAAAGUGUUAAUUUCUUUCUUUGCAUCUAAACACAUGACAGUUUGGGCUGCAUGGAGACUCAGCAGAAAGAUUCACAUACUGGUUGUCAUGAUGCUCUUCCAGACACACCAGUUUCCUCAAAGGACAUGACUACAGGACGAAGGCCCGAAUGCUCAGUGCGGCACACUUGGGAAGUCGCCCUCUUCAUGGUACCAGAGUUCAUAACACUCACCCAAAGUCAACCUAUCCAACAUCUGUUGUCACUAGUCACUGGAUAACCCUAGUGUGGAAGUCUCUGGUAUUUGCCACCUGACUUUGCUACUUUAAAUGUGGCCAGCACACUUUCCUACUGCAUCAUGAUGGGCAUAUAAAAGCCAAUGGCAUUUAUCAUCAAGUAUUAACACCACCAUCACCAAGUUCUCGUGUAGCAUGACUGCAACUCUUAUGGCCAUUUAUUAAGAAUGCAAAGCCUUUGAUGUGCUAGAAACAGAUGCACCUUUGAGACUGAACUUGCUCCCCGCUUUAUGGCUCUUCUCAUUUCUCCCCAGCCCCUCAACUUUGGCUCCCUUUCUUCAGGAUGUGACUACUCAGGCAAAUCGGCUCAUUUUUUUAUCUGACUAUAAGGCUAAACAAACAAAUCUUACAUAACUCUUCUGCCACAUAUUUUAACCUCUUUCUGUUUAGAAUUCAUCUAUAUUUCAACAGCAAGCAAAGCCUCUGAGUAGAGCUUUUGCACAAAGCUGCACCCAGACUGUGGUAUGCCAUGAUACUAAGUUGCCACACAGUGCCACCCUUCCUGUCACCUAAGCCACAAGGCAAUGAAUAACCCCCAGUUAGAAAUUUAGUCUUCUUUCUUCCUCCAUCUAAACUAAAAUUGUAAAAUACCAGAUCGAUGUUUUAAGAAUGCAGCUUGGAGGUAUGAUACAAUAAGCCAUGUAGUGACUAUGGAGAUCCCAUUGCAAAUCCUUUAAAACAUUUGCCUCGUCUACCUUUUAUCUGUUCUCCCUUGGGUGCUUUUCAUUUUCCAGCACACAUUUCUGCCGAACGGGAGAAGUGAUGAUAUUGGGCUUGAUGGGAGUCCGUGCCGCCAUGUCCGCUCUCCUGGAGUCCAGUGUGGAGGAGGAGUCCAGCUUGCCCUGAACUCUGCUCCAUCAGUUCCCUUCACCCACUGUUCAACACCUCACCCUGACCCAUUCCUUCACAAACUUGACAAGAGAGAGCAGAAAACUCUCCUUUUUGUCCUUCAUUCAUUCAUUAGAGGUGUACUGCAGACUUAACUAACCACAAAGCACUAAGCUUCACCGUGAGGAUCAUGAAGGAAUCACGAAAGAACAUCAGAUGUCUGUUCUGAAAGGGUCACCUCUUCACACACAUGUCCUGUCCCUCGGACUCAUAAUUUGAUAGGCAAGCUGCAGAAGGUGCUUCCUUCUUUGGAAAACUGCACUGAGUUAUAAAAGCUGGGGAGUUGGAAUUUAGCACCUUUUCUAGAUUUGCUUUCUUUCCUUCCCUUACAUAUACUUCAUGGGGAAACCAACUGUACUAUUUAGCAUCCCCUGAGCCCAACCUGCCCUUUUCUUUCUUCAAAACUCAUGGAAGGGAUGUCCUUCCUUUACAUCAGCACCCUGCUCUGCCUACUGCCACCCCCCACCCCCUGUCGUUGGAAACACAUUUCUUCUAUUUCAAAAGCACAUUUCAAAUAUGUCUUCCUUUCAUCUGGAUAAAAUUCUCUUUUGCCUGGAGACUCAGAGAAAGUGACAGAAAUCAACAAACUUUGCAGUCUACAGGCUCUCAUUCUGCACUUAGGCUCUAGUGCUUAUUAACCAUGUACCCCUGGAAAAGCUACCAGGGCUCUCUGAGCCUCAGUUUCCUCAUCUGCAAAAUGGAGAUGAUAAUAUUGCAAAAGAGUCAUGGUUUUUUGAUGAGGUAGUUUACAUAAGUGGCCUAGCAUAGUAUCUGACUCCUGAAAUGAUAGUCAGUGUCCCUUCUUGGAAAACUCCAUUAUUAAAUUCUGUUUGAUGUAACUAUUUGCAGGAUUACCUCCUGUGUUAAAAUCCUAGCCACUUGAGAAUAGGCACCACAGCUCAUUCACAUGGGGUUUCCUGCAGCCUUGCACAAAGCUUUGUGCCUAGCAGAUGCUCAGGCACGUCACUGGCUGCAUCAACGUGUUACUGUGAAAAUACAAAUGAUCAGAGGUCUGUGAAGAGUCAGGCUUAGUGGUGAAAGGAGGGCCUGGGUAUAAAGCUACGUUCUUUAAAGUCUUUGCUGAGUUCAGCAAGGUUCUUGAGGGCAGGGUAGCUGCAAGUAGUUGCAGUUGCAUUAAAUGAGCCAGGGUAGUUGCAGGGAGAAAGUGGCAGGCUCAUGAAAUUUAGGGCCCCAGGGUGACCUUAACCUGGGUCACAGGCAAGAUGAAUUAGAAGAGAAAACAGAGACAAAGCUAGCUCCUCUCAGAUCCUUAGACAUUCCAAACAAGGGGGAGACUCAGUCUUUCCUGAUUAAUCUUUAGUGAUUUAUUCUUUGGACAUCAUUUAAAAGGAGCAUUUUAAAGUAAAUUAAUUGAACUUCCAUGACCUUUUACCCUACAUGCAUCAUCAAAAGAAACUAGAUCUUGAAAUUAAAAAAAAAUACUUGAUUUAUUUUCUGUGACUUACUAACUACUGAGGAAUGUCAGUUGGGUUUUUAUUUUUUGAUAUUAUAAAUAAAACUCCAGUCUUUUUAGCAGUUAGUUGAAACAUCCCAACUGUAACAAAUAAAUGUUGAGUGAGGAGUAUCAUAGGAGGAGAAGUAAUAAAUACAUAACCUAAGAUACACAGGUAGAGGAAAGUAUUGGUUGUCUUAAAAAACAGCUAUUUCCCCUUUUACUUCUCUGGCCUGAUAUUAUUCCUGAGUUCACCCCUCUUCAACAUGACUUGGGUAAAUUUUCAUUAAUAUAAGCUGGUGUUUACCGAAGUAAAGGCAGGGGUCUAUUAGGGAAUUGCAAAAUCAGUUUAGUAGUUGGAUUAUUAUUAUUAUCAUUAUUUUUGAUUAAUGAAUAUAGCAGUAAAGAGAAUAAAACAGAGUAGAAAAUAUAUGAAUGCAUUGCAUAGUAAGGAUGAGUUUUAUAAAACUUUCAUUUGUGCUUUAUAUAUGCAUUAUGAAAUGCGUUUAUGUGUGUACUGAGUUGGGGUGUACAAUGUAUUUUUCACAGUCAUAUCUCAAAAACUUUGGAAGCUGUUGAAUCCUCCAGGCCUCAUGGUGAUUUGUUUGCAAAUUGCUGGGUGAUGGUGAUAUGGCUCUGGCCCAUGAGACAUCAAAGGAGAUCUGGUGGGGAAGACUGGGAAAAAAUUCCUCACCCAAACGCAUGAUACACUGUGGACCUACUGUCCUCUCUUUCACUGGGUGUUGCCAUGUCUAUAUGUGCUCCCUGGUACUGUGGCUCCAUCUUACAACUACAAAAGCAGCUCACGUGAGAUCAUGUUGAACAAUAACAUGUACGAAGAUGAAAGGAAUUGGGUCCUAGGUUCAGUGUUAAGCUGUGAUGUUAAAUAUCUCUGAAACUAUCCCACCUCUGGGCUAUUACAUGAGAUCAUAAAUCCCUUACUGUUUAAGCCACCUGAGUUAGUUUUAUGCUACUUACAGCUGAAAGAACCCUAAGGGAUAAAGAAAGCUUAUUUUAGGAGGUGCAAGUAAAUCAAACACUGGUGUAUAGGUCUGGUGGAAGGAAAGCUUGAAAAGGAACUCUGAGUCAGAUGGUGAAGAAUGCUAAGUUCCACGACCAAGCACUAAUGUGAAGACAGGACAGGCUUAUAGUUAUGAGCACAGACUCAGGAGUAGACAGUCUGCGCUUGAGCCUCUUUUUUCUACUUGUUAGCUGGGUUACUUAGGUGAGUAAUCAUUUUUAGCAGUAAAUUGGAAAAUUAAUCUGGUGUCAUUUUCUAGGGUGGAUUGGAAGUUGGGAAAAUGCGGAGUCAUUGAAAUUAGUUAGAAGACUAUUGUGACAAUCCAUUAAUGAAUAAUGAGGGCUUAUGCUGUGGAGAUGGUAAAGGAAACCCAUGGGAAGAGAAGGAUGUAGGAGGUACUAAGAAGGUGGGCUUGGUGAUAGACUGGUUAUGGGAUAUGGGGCUGAGGAAGGAAUGAAAUCCAGCUGUACGAUCUCAGUGCUGGGGUACAGGGUGGGGAAGGG
Manis pentadactyla (Chinese pangolin) is the source of this 4486-nucleotide long non-coding RNA. RefSeq lists it as uncharacterized. The transcript has 3 exons. Lineage: Eukaryota; Metazoa; Chordata; Mammalia; Pholidota; Manidae. The record is from RefSeq and is a predicted model, not a curated record.